This 467-nucleotide ribosomal RNA is filed under the name uncultured bacterium. RNAcentral's name for it is "partial 16S ribosomal RNA". It matches the Rfam family "Bacterial small subunit ribosomal RNA", at positions 28 to 506 of the family's 1533-position model. The record is from RNAcentral.
GACGAACGCUGGCGGCGUGCUUAACACAUGCAAGUCGAACGGAAAGGCCCUGCUUUUGUGGGGUGCUCGAGUGGCGAACGGGUGAGUAACACGUGAGUAACCUGCCCUUGACUUUGGGAUAACUUCAGGAAACUGGGGCUAAUACCGGAUAGGAGCUCCUGCUGCAUGGUGGGGGUUGGAAAGUUUCGGCGGUUGGGGAUGGACUCGCGGCUUAUCAGCUUGUUGGGGGGGUAGUGGCUUACCAAGGCUUUGACGGGUAGCCGGCCUGAGAGGGUGACCGGCCACAUUGGGACUGAGAUACGGCCCAGACUCCUACGGGAGGCAACAGUGGGGAAUAUUGCACAAUGGGCGGAAGCCUGAUGCAGCAACGCCGCGUGCGGGAUGACGGCCUUCGGGUUGUAAACCGCUUUCGCCUGUGACGAAGCGUGAGUGACGGUAAUGGGUAAAGAAGCACCGGCUAACUACGU